GAUGAACGCUAGCGGCAGGCCUAAUACAUGCAAGCCGAACGGCAAGUUGAGUAGCAAUACUUGACCUAGAGUGGCGUAAGGGUGCGUAACACGUAUGCAAUCUACCCGCAACAGGAGGAUAGCUCUCCGAAAGGGGAAUUAAGCCUCCAUGGGAUCAUGGGGUGGCAUCACUCCAUGAUUAAACUACCAGGGGUUGUGGAUGAGCAUGCGCAUGAUUAGUUAGUUGGCGGGUAACGCCCACCAAGACGAUGAUCAUUAGGGGAACUGAGAGGUUGA
This 276-nucleotide ribosomal RNA is filed under the name uncultured bacterium. Its description in RNAcentral is "partial 16S ribosomal RNA". It matches the Rfam family "Bacterial small subunit ribosomal RNA", at positions 28 to 303 of the family's 1533-position model. The record is from RNAcentral.